This 450-nucleotide ribosomal RNA is filed under the name uncultured prokaryote. RNAcentral's name for it is "bacterial SSU rRNA". It matches the Rfam family "Bacterial small subunit ribosomal RNA", at positions 355 to 796 of the family's 1533-position model. The record is from RNAcentral.
UAGGGAAUCAUCCGCAAUGGGCGAAAGCCUGACGGUGCAACGCCGCGUGAACGAUGAAGGUUUUCGGAUCGUAAAGUUCUGUUAUGAGGGAAGAACACGUGCCGGUCGAACAGGCCGGCAUCUUGACGGUACCUCACGAGAAAGCCCCGGCUAACUACGUGCCAGCAGCCGCGGUAAUACGUAGGGGGCAAGCGUUGUCCGGAAUUAUUGGGCGUAAAGCGCGCGCAGGCGGUCUCGUAAGUCUGAUGUGAAAGCCCACGGCUCAACCGUGGAGGGUCAUUGGAAACUGGGAGACUUGAGUGUAGGAGAGGAAAGUGGAAUUCCACGUGUAGCGGUGAAAUGCGUAGAUAUGUGGAGGAACACCAGUGGCGAAGGCGACUUUCUGGCCUACAACUGACGCUGAGGCGCGAAAGCGUGGGGAGCAAACAGGAUUAGAUACCCCUGUAGUCC